This is a non-coding RNA of Armillaria luteobubalina, 93 nucleotides long. The record is from the annotation of a GenBank genome assembly. NCBI's taxonomy places the organism in Eukaryota, Fungi, Basidiomycota, Agaricomycetes, Agaricales, Physalacriaceae.
UCCCUCUUAGCUCAGUUGGUAGAGCGCGUCACUAGUAUAGUUUGAUGGCGCAUUAUCAUGACGAGGUCAGUCGUUCAAGUCGGCUAGAGGGAA